RNAcentral lists this ribosomal RNA (309 nucleotides) under uncultured bacterium. RNAcentral's name for it is "partial 16S ribosomal RNA". It matches the Rfam family "Bacterial small subunit ribosomal RNA", at positions 504 to 808 of the family's 1533-position model. The record is from RNAcentral.
AGAGACAGCAGUCGCCGCGGGAAUACGUAGGGGGCAAGCGUUAUCCGGAAUAACUGGGCGUAAAGGGUGCGCAGGUGGUUUAACAAGUUAGUGGUGAAAGGCAUAGGCUCAACCAAUGUAAGCCAUUAAAACUGUUUAACUUGAGUGCAGGAGAGGAAAGUGGAAUUCCUAGUGUAGCGGUGAAAUGCGUAGAUAUUAGGAGGAAUACUAGUGGCGAAGGCGACUUUCUGGACUGCAACUGACACUGAGGCACGAAAGCGUGGGGAGCAAACAGGAUUAGAUACCCCGGUAGUCCCUGUCUCUUAUACA